RNAcentral lists this ribosomal RNA (705 nucleotides) under Triticum aestivum (bread wheat). RNAcentral describes it as "partial small subunit ribosomal RNA". Lineage: Eukaryota; Viridiplantae; Streptophyta; Magnoliopsida; Poales; Poaceae. The record is from RNAcentral.
AUGGCGACCAGCGACGAACUCGCCCAGGUCGACAUCUCCACGGAGGAGAAGGACAAGCUGGUGGCCGAGGUGAUGCGCUACGCGCUCUUCAAGACGCACCAGAACUCCGGCUGCCCCAUCAAGCGGGAGGAGCUCACGCAGAUCAUCACCAAGAACUACCGCCAGCGAGCGCUCCCUGCGCUCGUCAUCAAGGAGACUGGGGACAGGCUUGCCGCGACCUUCGGCUAUGAGAUGAGGGAGCUCCAGAGGACCCGCUCCACGUCCACCCGCUCUGGACGCCCCUCCUCCCAGCAGCCCAGUAAUCAGGACGCAAAGAGCUACGUCCUGGUAAGUAAGCUGGACCCUGAGGUGUACAGCAAGUAUGUCGAGGAUAAGGAGCGUGCCCAUGUGUCUGGAUUUGCUUUUGUUGUCAUAAGCAUUGUUCAUGUCGCUGGUGGCAAGAUCUCUGAAGAGGACCUUUGGCGUCAGCUUAAACGGCUGGGCUUAAACGAGACUGAUGAGAACCACCCUGUUCUCGGCAACAAUAAGCAGGCGCUUGAACUACUAGUGCAACAAAGGUACUUGCUGAAGGAGAAGAUUGCUGGUCCAGAAGGCCAUUCCAUGGUUUAUGAGCUUGCAGAGAGGGCAUUGGAUGAAUCCAUCAGCUCGAAGCUUAAAGAAUACAUUUCACAGGUUGUGGGCGUCAGUACAGCUACAGCAGAAUGA